This 239-nucleotide ribosomal RNA is filed under the name uncultured bacterium. RNAcentral describes it as "partial 16S ribosomal RNA". It matches the Rfam family "Bacterial small subunit ribosomal RNA", at positions 103 to 334 of the family's 1533-position model. The record is from RNAcentral.
CGGGUGAGGAACGCGUAGGUAAUCUACCCUUUGGCGGGGGACAACAUUCCGAAAGGAAUGCUAAUACCGCGUAAGACCACACUCACUACGGUGAGAGCGGUUAAAGGUGCCUCAAAGCACCACCAAAGGAUGAGCCCGCGUCCCAUCAGCUUGUUGGUAAGGUAAUGGCUUACCAAGGCGAAGACGGGUAGCUGGUCUGAGAGGAUGAUCAGCCACACUGGCACUGGAACACGGGCCAG